GCCGGCGUCGCUUAACCUGGUAGAGCGGUGGUCUCGAAAACCGCUGUCCGCAAGGACUUGUAGGUUCAAAAAAUUGAAAGUCCUGCCGCCGGCG
RNAcentral lists this transfer RNA (94 nucleotides) under Candidatus Woesearchaeota archaeon. Its description in RNAcentral is "tRNA-Ser". It matches the Rfam family "tRNA". Rfam says of the family: Transfer RNA (tRNA) molecules are approximately 80 nucleotides in length. Their secondary structure includes four short double-helical elements and three loops (D, anti-codon, and T loops). Further hydrogen bonds mediate the characteristic L-shaped molecular structure. tRNAs have two regions of fundamental functional importance: the anti-codon, which is responsible for specific mRNA codon recognition, and the 3' end, to which the tRNAs corresponding amino acid is attached (by aminoacyl-tRNA synthetases). tRNAs cope with the degeneracy of the genetic code in two manners: having more than one tRNA (with a specific anti-codon) for a particular amino acid; and 'wobble' base-pairing, i.e. permitting non-standard base-pairing at the 3rd anti-codon position. Lineage: Archaea; Nanobdellati; Candidatus Woesearchaeota. The record is from RNAcentral.